GCAUUUAACCAAAAACCCAUUGAUUUCAGGAUGAUGUAAGCGGAGGCGCUAAUAUGCUAACUUGUUUCCGGGCCCACCAAAAUACAUACAUCACUCUAUUGUGCGAAGGUUAACCUUGGGCCGCAGGUUAAUGCCCGAUGCACAUGACCGGGAGAUUAUCGCGGUGACUUUUGAGGGUUAGUUCUUCGACUAAAACAUCAUAUCUCCGUCUGUUUUUGAAGAGCUUUGUAAAAUGAUGUUAUCAUGCUUUGUGCCUGGUCUCUGAUGGGUUUUCCACAUGCAGAUGGACGUUUGCCUAUUGAAUCCAUGAUUUAAAUAGUCUUGUAUCCAACUGUAGAUGAUUGUGCUUUGUAAUCCAAUGUAAAAGCUUGAAAAGCGAAGGGUGAAAAAGGGCUCGGAUGGGAGUCUUGUCUCCUGUUCUGGUUUAUUUGAAGAGCAUAGAAGAGGAAAUCACCUCUGGCUUGGUGUCUUGUGAGGAAACUUUCUACAUUUACAGUAGGACUCGGACUCGUUCUGUACUUUAUUUAGAUACUAGAAUCGAAAUCUUGGAACAAUCCGAGGAGCAUUCGGGUGCUUCGGUUUCAGCAUCUUGUGUACACGUAUGCGUAGUUUUAACUGUGAAAUGCACUUUAUUUUUUUGAUGCGAAAAGGCACAACAAAUUACUUAUCUGCAAAUAAAACAAUAUUAUAAGAAUUAUAAUCAACAUGCACUAAUUAACAUUGUAAAACAUUGUGUUAAUGUGUUGUAUAUUUUUCCAAGGUGUUGGUUGUAUACUUUUAUUGCUUUGGUUAGUUUAAUGAACUGAGAGAUCUUGUUAAUUUUGUAUUAAAAGAAUGUGCUGUGCAUUAAAAAUA
Molecule: long non-coding RNA, 855 nt
Organism: Rhinichthys klamathensis goyatoka
Lineage: Eukaryota; Metazoa; Chordata; Actinopteri; Cypriniformes; Leuciscidae
Exons: 2
Source: RefSeq, a predicted model, not a curated record